GGCCUCAGGGACCAGAGUCGCCUCCGUGAGGAAGGAGGCCAGACCCUGCCAGUGCAAGCUUCCGUUUUCCAGAGCAUGGGACCCGAGGUUCACACAUAGGAACUUCCAGGAUACUUGGAAUAGAGGUGGCAAAGGUUUGGGCGUCAGGAUGAUGUUUGUUUCCAAACUGAGCUGGGAAAGUGUUGGCGAGCUGCUUUUAUGACUCCACAUUUUUCAUAAACUCCAACAGCCAAUGCUGAGCCAAGACUGCGUGUACGCUGAUGAAUUCCUCGUGGCUGUGUUACGGGGUCCUGGGCGGCACGGCCACGCACUCGGGACGUGGACGCUGCGCCCGCCCGUGGCCUGGGGCUCUCACUGCACAACGCUCGGGGGGGGGGGUACCCAGGCCUCCCCCUUUCUCUGUCCUGAAAGAUGGCUUCAGUGUCUUUCCACGGAGACUCCACCCUUGUAACCCAAAGUCUCCCUCCGUCCCGCAAACAGCAGAGGGAAGCGGGAUCCGCGGCCACGUA
Lepus europaeus (European hare) is the source of this 509-nucleotide long non-coding RNA. RefSeq lists it as uncharacterized. The record is from RefSeq and is a predicted model, not a curated record. The transcript is spliced from 3 exons. NCBI's taxonomy places the organism in Eukaryota, Metazoa, Chordata, Mammalia, Lagomorpha, Leporidae.